Molecule: ribosomal RNA, 466 nt
Filed under: uncultured Ochrobactrum sp.
Lineage: Bacteria; Pseudomonadati; Pseudomonadota; Alphaproteobacteria; Hyphomicrobiales; Brucellaceae
Description: bacterial SSU rRNA
Rfam family: Bacterial small subunit ribosomal RNA
Source: RNAcentral
UAGAGUUUGAUCCUGGCUCAGAACGAACGCUGGCGGCAGGCUUAACACAUGCAAGUCGAGCGCCCCGCAAGGGGAGCGGCAGACGGGUGAGUAACGCGUGGGAAUCUACCUUUUGCUACGGAAUAACUCAGGGAAACUUGUGUAAUACCGUAUGUGCCCUUCGGGGGAAAGAUUUAUCGGCAAAGGAUGAGCCCGCGUUGGAUUAGCUAGUUGGUGGGGUAAAGGCCCACCAAGGCGACGAUCCAUAGCUGGUCUGAGAGGAUGAUCAGCCACACUGGGACUGAGACACGGCCCAGACUCCUACGGGAGGCAGCAGUGGGGAAUAUUGGACAAUGGGCGCAAGCCUGAUCCAGCCAUGCCGCGUGAGUGAUGAAGGCCCUAGGGUUGUAAAGCUCUUUCACCGGUGAAGAUAAUGACGGUAACCGGAGAAGAAGCCCCGGCUAACUUCGUGCCGCAGCCGCGGUAA